This 253-nucleotide ribosomal RNA is filed under the name uncultured bacterium. RNAcentral's name for it is "partial 16S ribosomal RNA". It matches the Rfam family "Bacterial small subunit ribosomal RNA", at positions 524 to 776 of the family's 1533-position model. The record is from RNAcentral.
UACGUAGGGUGCAAGCGUUGUCCGGAAUUAUUGGGCGUAAAGAGCUCGUAGGCGGUCUGUCGCGUCGGCUGUGAAAUCCCGAGGCUCAACCUCGGGUCUGCAGUCGAUACGGGCAAACUAGAGUAUUGCAGGGGAGACUGGAAUUCCUGGUGUAGCGGUGAAAUGCGCAGAUAUCAGGAGGAACACCAAUGGCGAAGGCAGAUCUCUGGGCCGUAACUGACGCUGAGGAGCGAAAGCAUGGGGAGCGAACAGG